Molecule: long non-coding RNA, 321 nt
Filed under: Monodelphis domestica (gray short-tailed opossum)
Lineage: Eukaryota; Metazoa; Chordata; Mammalia; Didelphimorphia; Didelphidae
Description: lncRNA (ENSMODG00000043075.1)
Source: RNAcentral
UAGAUUUUUAUCUCUCAGUCUCCACUUUUCUGUCUCUUUCACACAGGAAAACAAAUUGCAUCAACUACUAAAAUGAAGCAUCCUGAACCAGCUGAGCAUCCAAAGUCACACACACUGAUUGGGGGAUGAACCAUGAAGGAAAACCACAGGGUACAGUUGCAUGGAGAGUGAGCUGCACAAUGAGUUCCAAGAAAUCCGAUUUCAUCCAAAGCUGACAGAUCCAGUCCAGGUGGGAGAAUAAUGCACUGGCAGGCAGACUAGGAGCAGUGAGGUGUGGGGAAGGUAUGAUUUACAUCAUUAUCAUAGGAUCCUAGUGAAGAA